UAGAUCCCUUUUUUGGUGUCAUAUGAUGAAGCUUCAUAGGGCAGAUUCUGAGCUGAGAAAUUAAAUUUCUCUCCACUGAUACUCUCUCUAUGCCAUCUGAAGACACCCAAGUAUUG
Molecule: small nucleolar RNA, 116 nt
Filed under: Chaetura pelagica (chimney swift)
Lineage: Eukaryota; Metazoa; Chordata; Aves; Apodiformes; Apodidae
Description: Small nucleolar RNA SNORD90
Rfam family: Small nucleolar RNA SNORD90
About the family: snoRNA HBII-295 belongs to the family of C/D snoRNAs. It is the human orthologue of the mouse MBII-295 and has no identified RNA target.
Source: Rfam by way of RNAcentral